RNAcentral lists this ribosomal RNA (253 nucleotides) under uncultured bacterium. RNAcentral's name for it is "partial 16S ribosomal RNA". It matches the Rfam family "Bacterial small subunit ribosomal RNA", at positions 524 to 776 of the family's 1533-position model. The record is from RNAcentral.
UACGUAGGGGGCAAGCGUUGUUCGGAAUUACUGGGCGUAAAGGGCGCGUAGGCGGCCUGUUAAGUCGAACGUGAAAUCCCCGGGCUCAACCCGGGAACUGCGUCCGAUACUGGCAGGCUUGAAUCCGGGAGAGGGAUGCGGAAUUCCAGGUGUAGCGGUGAAAUGCGUAGAUAUCUGGAGGAACACCGGUGGCGAAGGCGGCAUCCUGGACCGGCAUUGACGCUGAGGCGCGAAAGCCAGGGGAGCAAAGCGG